RNAcentral lists this ribosomal RNA (460 nucleotides) under uncultured bacterium. Its description in RNAcentral is "partial 16S ribosomal RNA". It matches the Rfam family "Bacterial small subunit ribosomal RNA", at positions 338 to 795 of the family's 1533-position model. The record is from RNAcentral.
CCUACGGGUGGCAGCAGUGAGGAAUAUUGGUCAAUGGGCGGAAGCCUGAACCAGCCAAGUAGCGUGCAGGAUGACGGCCCUACGGGUUGUAAACUGCUUUUAUACGGGAAUAACGCGCCUUACGUGUAGGGCUUUGCAUGUACCGUAUGAAUAAGGACCGGCUAAUUCCGUGCCAGCAGCCGCGGUAAUACGGAAGUUCCGGGCGUUAUCCGGAUUUAUUGGGUUUAAAGGGAGCGUAGGCCGCAUGUCAAGCGUGCUGUGAAAUGUCCGGGCGCAAGCCGGGCCUUGCAGCGUGAAUGGGCGUGCGUGAGUCGGCGGAAAGCAGGCGGAAUGCGUCGGGUAGCGGUGAAAUGCUUAGAUAGGGCGAAGAACGGUGAUUGCGAAGGCAGCUUGCUGCAGCGGAACUGACGCUGAUGCUCGAAAGCGCGGGUAUCGAACAGGAUUAGAUACCCGAGUAGUC